This is a non-coding RNA of Bacteroidetes bacterium GWA2_30_7, 33 nucleotides long. The record is from Rfam. NCBI's taxonomy places the organism in Bacteria, Pseudomonadati, Bacteroidota.
CAGGCGGAUUCCGAAAAGCCUUACGAGUAGGAA